GCGAACGCUGGCGGCAGGCCUCACACCUGCCAGUCGCACGAACUCUUCGGAGUUAGUGGCGGACGGGUGAGUAACACGUGGGAACGUGCCUUUUGGUUCGGAAUAACUCAGGGAAACUUGUGCUAAUACCGAAUGUGCCCUUCGGGGGAAAGAUUUAUCGCCAUUAGAGCGGCCCGCGUCUGAUUAGCUAGUUGGUGAGGUAACGGCUCACCAAGGCGACGAUCAGUAGCUGGUCUGAGAGGAUGACCAGCCACACUGGGACUGAGACACGGCCCAGACUCCUACGGGAGGCAGCAGUGGGGAAUCUUGCGCAAUGGGCGAAAGCCUGACGCAGCCAUGCCGCGUGAAUGAUGAAGGUCUUAGGAUUGUAAAAUUCUUUCACCGGGGACGAUAAUGACGGUACCCGGAGAAGAAGCCCCGGCUAACUUCGUG
RNAcentral lists this ribosomal RNA (432 nucleotides) under uncultured bacterium. RNAcentral's name for it is "partial 16S ribosomal RNA". It matches the Rfam family "Bacterial small subunit ribosomal RNA", at positions 29 to 507 of the family's 1533-position model. The record is from RNAcentral.